This 253-nucleotide ribosomal RNA is filed under the name uncultured bacterium. RNAcentral describes it as "partial 16S ribosomal RNA". It matches the Rfam family "Bacterial small subunit ribosomal RNA", at positions 524 to 776 of the family's 1533-position model. The record is from RNAcentral.
UACGUAGGGUGCGAGCGUUGUCCGGAAUUACUGGGCGUAAAGAGCUCGUAGGUGGUUUGUCGCGUUGUUCGUGAAAACUCACAGCUCAACUGUGGGCGUGCGGGCGAUACGGGCAGACUGGAGUACUGCAGGGGAGACUGGAAUUCCUGGUGUAGCGGUGGAAUGCGUAGAUAUCAAGUGGAACACCAGUGGCGAAGGCGAGUCCCUGGACGAUUUCUGACACUGAGGCACGAAAGCUAGGGGAGCAAACAGG